UAUAAAUAUUUAACUUAAUACGUUCAUUAUUAUUUUAUUAAUUUAUCGUCACGCGUCAUUUACCAGUUGCCUAAUUACGAAAAGUUUCAUAUGACAUUAACCUCAAAAAUGAUCUUUGAAAACAAACAACAAACAGAGCAACAAAUGAUCAAAUAACUACAUAAUGACUGAUAAUGAUAAGUGAUAAUAAUAACUUUAAUGAUAUGAAGGCUGAUGAAGGUAAUUAUAAACAUUAUUUUGAGUUUGUUUAAUAAAAUAUAGGAUACAAUAUAACUAAGCAAAAUCAAACAGUUUUAGACAACCAAUACAAGAUACUAGAACUUGACAUCGUUAUAAACAAAUUGUACAUUCAGGAACUCGUUUAAAUAUUAUAGGUUGAUUGACGAAUACUCUACAGUUGAUUAGAGCCCAUGAUGAUGCGAAGAUAAUUAAUAUCACAAGGAUAUCACCUAACUUCAAGAAACCAGCAUAAAGAAGUUUACAUUCAUAACUCAUCUAACCAUUAUAGGUAAUAAUUUACAAAAUUAGCCAUUUUUGAUUAUAAUAUUAAGGUACUUAGGUACAUUUUUAUCUUCUAGAUCAGUAAUGUCGUCAUAAUUUAAAUGAACUCACAGAUAGCAAUGGGGCACUGCACCGAAGCAGUAUUACAAAAUAUGUGAAAUAAAACUGUAAUACAAAUUGCUCUAUAAAAUUUAAUAGAAAUAAAUUUAUUUAUGAAAAUUAAGUUAUGAAGUUUUAUUUUUCCUAGGAAAAAAAUAACAUUUAUAUUUUGAUCAAUUUAGAACAUUACAGUUAAAAAAAUAUGUGUUAGAAUAACAUAUUUUUAAUAAAAUUGCAGCUUUUAAUUUUUAUACUUUUUUGCUUUUAUAUCAAUAAGAACUAACGUAAGGAACAAUUCAUAUUUAUACUAUGAAAACACAUGCAUAUUUUUUGAUGUUUUUAAAACCAGUGAAUGAUGUUGAAAUAUACUACACCUAUUAUUCUUAUUAACUAACUUUAAUUACAAACUUACACAUUAUUGUCAUUGGAAAUAAAUUAAUUUGGAUAUUCUA
RNAcentral lists this long non-coding RNA (1052 nucleotides) under Sitophilus oryzae (rice weevil). Its description in RNAcentral is "uncharacterized LOC115880486, transcript variant X2". Lineage: Eukaryota; Metazoa; Arthropoda; Insecta; Coleoptera; Curculionidae. The record is from RNAcentral.